RNAcentral lists this microRNA precursor (70 nucleotides) under Sus scrofa (pig). RNAcentral describes it as "mir-134 microRNA precursor family". It matches the Rfam family "mir-134 microRNA precursor family". Lineage: Eukaryota; Metazoa; Chordata; Mammalia; Artiodactyla; Suidae. The record is from Rfam by way of RNAcentral.
CAGGCUGUGACUGGUUGACCAGAGGGUACGCACUUGGUUCACCCUCUGGGCCCCCUAGUCACCAACCCUC